GAAUCCAUAGGUUAAUGAGGCGAACCGGGGGAACUGAAACAUCUAAGUACCCCGAGGAAAAGAAAUCAACCGAGAUUCCCCCAGUAGCGGCGAGCGAACGGGGAGCAGCCCAGAGCCUGAAUCAGUGUGUGUGUUAGUGGAAGCGUCUGGAAAGGCGCGCGAUACAGGGUGACAGCCCCGUACACAAAAAUGCACAUGCUGUGAGCUCGAUGAGUAGGGCGGGACACGUGGUAUCCUGUCUGAAUAUGGGGGGACCAUCCUCCAAGGCUAAAUACUCCUGACUGACCGAUAGUGAACCAGUACCGUGAGGGAAAGGCGAAAAGAACCCCGGCGAGGGGAGUGAAAAAGAACCUGAAACCGUGUACGUACAAGCAGUGGGAGCACGCUUAGGCGUGUGACUGCGUACCUUUUGUAUAAUGGGUCAGCGACUUAUAUUCUGUAGCAAGGUUAACCGAAUAGGGGAGCCGAAGGGAAACCGAGUCUUAACUGGGCGUUAAGUUGCAGGGUAUAGACCCGAAACCCGGUGAUCUAGCCAUGGGCAGGUUGAAGGUUGGGUAACACUAACUGGAGGACCGAACCGACUAAUGUUGAAAAAUUAGCGGAUGACUUGUGGCUGGGGGUGAAAGGCCAAUCAAACCGGGAGAUAGCUGGUUCUCCCCGAAAGCUAUUUAGGUAGCGCCUCGUGAAUUCAUCUCCGGGGGUAGAGCACUGUUUCGGCAAGGGGGUCAUCCCGACUUACCAACCCGAUGCAAACUGCGAAUACCGGAGAAUGUUAUCACGGGAGACACACGGCGGGUGCUAACGUCCGUCGUGAAGAGGGAAACAACCCAGACCGCCAGCUAAGGUCCCAAAGUCAUGGUUAAGUGGGAAACGAUGUGGGAAGGCCCAGACAGCCAGGAUGUUGGCUUAGAAGCAGCCAUCAUUUAAAGAAAGCGUAAUAGCUCACUGGUCGAGUCGGCCUGCGCGGAAGAUGUAACGGGGCUAAACCAUGCACCGAAGCUGCGGCAGCGACGCUUAUGCGUUGUUGGGUAGGGGAGCGUUCUGUAAGCCUGCGAAGGUGUGCUGUGAGGCAUGCUGGAGGUAUCAGAAGUGCGAAUGCUGACAUAAGUAACGAUAAAGCGGGUGAAAAGCCCGCUCGCCGGAAGACCAAGGGUUCCUGUCCAACGUUAAUCGGGGCAGGGUGAGUCGACCCCUAAGGCGAGGCCGAAAGGCGUAGUCGAUGGGAAACAGGUUAAUAUUCCUGUACUUGGUGUUACUGCGAAGGGGGGACGGAGAAGGCUAUGUUGGCCGGGCGACGGUUGUCCCGGUUUAAGCGUGUAGGCUGGUUUUCCAGGCAAAUCCGGAAAAUCAAGGCUGAGGCGUGAUGACGAGGCACUACGGUGCUGAAGCAACAAAUGCCCUGCUUCCAGGAAAAGCCUCUAAGCAUCAGGUAACAUCAAAUCGUACCCCAAACCGACACAGGUGGUCAGGUAGAGAAUACCAAGGCGCUUGAGAGAACUCGGGUGAAGGAACUAGGCAAAAUGGUGCCGUAACUUCGGGAGAAGGCACGCUGAUAUGUAGGUGAAGUCCCUCGCGGAUGGAGCUGAAAUCAGUCGAAGAUACCAGCUGGCUGCAACUGUUUAUUAAAAACACAGCACUGUGCAAACACGAAAGUGGACGUAUACGGUGUGACGCCUGCCCGGUGCCGGAAGGUUAAUUGAUGGGGUUAGCGGUAACGCGAAGCUCUUGAUCGAAGCCCCGGUAAACGGCGGCCGUAACUAUAACGGUCCUAAGGUAGCGAAAUUCCUUGUCGGGUAAGUUCCGACCUGCACGAAUGGCGUAAUGAUGGCCAGGCUGUCUCCACCCGAGACUCAGUGAAAUUGAACUCGCUGUGAAGAUGCAGUGUACCCGCGGCAAGACGGAAAGACCCCGUGAACCUUUACUAUAGCUUGACACUGAACAUUGAGCCUUGAUGUGUAGGAUAGGUGGGAGGCUUUGAAGUGUGGACGCCAGUCUGCAUGGAGCCGACCUUGAAAUACCACCCUUUAAUGUUU
RNAcentral lists this ribosomal RNA (2033 nucleotides) under Escherichia coli. RNAcentral describes it as "partial 23S ribosomal RNA". It matches the Rfam family "Bacterial large subunit ribosomal RNA", at positions 160 to 2215 of the family's 2925-position model. Lineage: Bacteria; Pseudomonadati; Pseudomonadota; Gammaproteobacteria; Enterobacterales; Enterobacteriaceae. The record is from RNAcentral.